GAGAUAAAGAUUUAUUGGGCUGCAGAUGCUGAAAGCAAAAUUCAGCGAUAGUGCUGACUCCAGCACUUUGCAGUAUUUACCACUCCUGGGGACCCAGUUCUGUGCCUCCCUGCAGGUCCGUGCCUGCUCCUCGGAGGGACGGCGGCUGGAGGUGAAGCGGCGGCAGGAGCGGUGCGGGUAAACUUCUAAAUUCAAGGAAUGAAACCAGAUUUCAAGCUGGACUUCCCAUCCAGCCAUGCUCCUGGCUCUGCUUACAGCCCCACUUGAGACCACCUGCAGCCGUGGCAGCUCCUCAGGAUGGACACGACUUUCCGCAGGAUGGACACGACUGGAGGGGCACGGGAAGGCGGAUGCCGUGUGUGUGGUGUGGGGCCAGUGCCACUGGAGAUGAUGGCAUGGAUCCACCUGACCCUUUGGUGCCAGGUAUGAUGCUGGGAUUCCCAGCUCCCUUUCCCUUCAGGGACGGGGAUGCUGAUCCUGAAAUGCAGCCCAAACCCCCUGGAGGGUGUGUGGUGUCCCCUGCCCGGCUCCCGCUGGCUGCCAGGGCGCGGGAGGUGCCCCUGAGCUAAUUGGAGUGUGCUGAGGAGGGACCCGCUCAGCCUUGACACUGAGACCUAAACUUGCCGUAAAACCAAAUGGAUACACACACCCACAUCCACGAGGCUUUUAGUUCAGCAACAAGUGAAUCCAUCAAAACCCAGCACCUAAUUUAAUAGCAAUAAUGAAAGGUGUGCGUCACUAUUAAUUUAAGCACUCCAACAUUAGCCUUGCACUUAGAAACCAGCAAGGCAAAGCUAUUUACAAAUGAAUGUACCAGGGCAAUAAAUUGAAAGGACUGGUCUGACCUGCGGUGGCGGCUUUCUUCAUUUAUACAUAGAUAUAUUUCUAUAGAUGCAUUUAUUCCCAUCUCUUUAGCGAACUCUCCCUAAUUAAGUUGAAGUGGCAGUGGAAGUGUGGCAGUAAGUGUGGAAAGAAGCUGCUGAAAACGUAUUUAAUUCAUUAUAAAUAAUCUUUGAUACCGUGGGGUUGCAUAAAGGUUUCAGUAUCAGAGCAGGACACCGAGGAAGGCCAAGGAGAUCAUCUGCACACAGUGGGAGCGUCUGCAUCCCGUGGUUUGACGUCCUCGUGCCAGGGAAGGGGGAGCACGGCUGGCAGGAGCAGGGUAAGGCCCACAGACACGGGGCUCUGGCUCCCCGUGGCCCCAGGAGGGUAAUGUAUGUGAGGAGGAAGGUGUAUGUCACCCACAUUAAAGGAGUUUAAUGUGCUCAGAGUCACAUUAUUGUACCCUUGCAGAAUACAUUAUCUGCGCGCUGCCUUCACAGGCUGUCACCUCGCAGAGAGGCUGCAGAGUUCCUGGAAACCAUUAUCAGCCUCUAAUGAUAUUAUCAAAAUUGGAGCACUCGUGGCACGGCGGGGGCUGAGGAUUCAUCCCUGCUGCCACCACUCUGCGUGCCCUGAGAGCCCCUGGGAGCAGCAGGACAGGACUGUGGCACCAAGGAUCCUCCUCCAGAGCACACAGGAGCCCAGCUCAGCCCCCGAGCCUGCAGCAGCCCGUGUGCUCCUUCACCUGCAGCUCCUGGGAAGAGGCUGAACCGCCCUGGCCAGGCCCCGUGCAGGACUGGGGGCACCAGGACCCUCCACGCCUGGGCUGAGCCGUCCCACAUCCCCAUCGCACGCCUGGAGCUUGUGCUGAGGUCGGUUUGGGAGCAAAGACAGCGGGAGAGCUCCAGCUGGGAGCUCCAGCGCUCUAAGCAGCAAAUAAACUCACGUUGGGCUCCUCACCCAGCCUGGGAACAGCCUCCAGCAGCAGCCGCUGUCCGUCCAUCCCUGCCUGGGCCCCAGGGACACCCACACCAGGAACAGAUAUCAUGGAAGACUGUACAGGGAGGCCUGGCCUCGGUGGUGCAGGGCUGAGCCACAGAAACCCAGAACAUAAACACAACAGGUGAGACCCAGACCCUCCCCUGCCCAGGGGCUGCUCCCACGUGCUGUGUUAAGGCUCAGGAAGUUUUCUCUGUACAAAAGCAAGGUGGGAGGCUGGCAGAGGGUGGGCAGUGGCCCAGGGAGCUGCCCCCAGCCCCGUGGGGAACAGGGCAGUUCUACGACAGUGGGAUCCGUGUGCAGAGCUCCAGUGACCUGGAGAGAUGGAAGAAAGACACCUCUGGUGAAUUCAACCAAAAAAUGCAGCUCUGGGUCUCAGCAAUCCAUUCCUGUGUUCCCUGAUGUACUAAGGAUGAACAAGGCCAAGAUAGUUACAAAUCCCAGUACAAAGUACAUCUUAAUUUUUAUUGUUAAAGAAUAAUAUUGAGAGGUGAAGGCAUUUCUCAGUCCCCGGGGGCAAGGUGCCUCAGUGGCUGUGCCAGCCCCGGGGUGGCAGCAGCUGAGGGUCCCUGGCAGGAGGAUUCUCCUCUCCACCUCCAAGACGUGGAUUCCCAACCACCGUGCUGCCUCCAGCAAGGAACUUCCAAUACCGCAUUUGCAAAGCUGAAAAGCACAGUUAAAUAAAAAUAUUUUUGAACAAAACAAA
Molecule: long non-coding RNA, 2527 nt
Organism: Prinia subflava (tawny-flanked prinia)
Lineage: Eukaryota; Metazoa; Chordata; Aves; Passeriformes; Cisticolidae
Exons: 6
Source: RefSeq, a predicted model, not a curated record